GUGAGGAAUAUUGCGCAAUGGAGGCAACUCUGACGCAGCCAUGGCGCGUGCAGGAAGAAGGCGCUACGCGUUGUAAACUGCUUUUAACCGGGAAGAAACCCCAGGACGUGUCCUGGGUUGACGGUACCGGAGGAAUAAGCACCGGCUAACUUCGUGCCAGCAGCCGCGGUAAUACGAAGGGUGCAAGCGUUAUCCGGAUUCAUUGGGUUUAAAGGGUGCGUAGGCGGAGCGUUAAGUCAGUGGUGAAAUCCUGCAGCUUAACUGUAGACUUGCCAUUGAUACUGGCGCUCUUGAGUGCGCUUGAAGUGGGCGGAAUGUGCCGUGUAGCGGUGAAAUGCUUAGAUAUGGCACAGAACACCAAUUGCGAAGGCAGCUCACUAAGGCGAUACUGACGCUGAGGCACGAAAGCGUGGGGAUCGAACAGGAUUAGAAACCCCUGUAGUCC
This 445-nucleotide ribosomal RNA is filed under the name uncultured bacterium. Its description in RNAcentral is "partial 16S ribosomal RNA". It matches the Rfam family "Bacterial small subunit ribosomal RNA", at positions 354 to 796 of the family's 1533-position model. The record is from RNAcentral.